CAAGCAAGUGGCUGAACCUUGCUGACCGUGGCGUCCUCAUCAGUAAGAUGAUGGGAGAUGAGGAAUUUCCCGGCUACAGGGUCCGGAUCAGUGUGUACGGAACAGGAUAGGUGGGUUGAGAAAAAUUUGCUUUCAUAUGUCUCUGGAAAUCUGGAAAGGGAUUGUCAGUCUGCAUUGUAUCUCCCUGUAAAUUCUUACACGUGCCUAUAUCUCAGAAUGUCACCAUAUCUGCAGACAGGGUUCUUGAAGACACAACUAAAUGAAAAUGGAUGAAAUCAGAAUGGAGCCUAAUCCGAGGUGACUGCUGUCUUUGUGAGAACAGGGAAGGAACACACAGGAAGGCUCCAGGGGUGCGUGUGAGGACAGAGCAAGGAGGUGGCCUGUCUGCCAGCCAAGGAAAAGAAACCAGCCCUGCUGACAACCGGCCCUCAGACUGCCAGCCCAGUGGGAAAACUCAUUCUGUUAUCUAAGCCACUCUGUCUGCAACGAUUGGUUAUGGCGGCCCUAAAAAAUGAGUACAUUUUCCGUCUUUGUACUGUAAAGUUGUUGUUGUUUAAUAGAUUGUCUCUUUUCUUGGGUUUAAGGAAUAUCUUCAAAAAGAGCUUGUUUUAUUGAUGAACUUGGUGUAUUAGGAACCAUCUCGGGAGGCUCUUGGCAAACACAGAAGGGGAUGAACGAGAGCACAUGCCUACCCGCUGUACAGAUCUCGCAACUGCAGAGAUAAUUGGAGAAGAUAGAUCUAUCUGCAAAGACACAAAAGGUCGAGAGUUUAUGCGAGUCAUCCUCUCAGGGAAAAUGAGCGAUUGCGGUAGCAGCAAUCCAUCUUACCAUUGAUUUAUAAGCGUCAUUGGAGAACUUGAUAUUUGUCUCACUGGAAAAACUUUUUUUUUUAAUUUAAUAAGAAACAUGUUUCUGCCUUUUGUAAUUCUAGUUGUCCUAACACAAUGUGUCCAAGCCUCACAUUUCUCCUUUAUUUGUUGAUAAGCCCACAGAUCUUGAUUGAAUCUAUAGUUCUUCCCGGGGCUAGAAGAUUUUAGAAUUUUUGAUGGUAACUUUUUUCCCCCUUGUAUCAGGGUCUCACUAUGUAACCGGGCUGACCUGGAACUUGAUAUGUAGACCAGGUUGGCCUCAACGUCACAGGUCAGCCUGCCUCUGCCUCCUGGGUGCUGAAUUAAUGGCCUGCACCACUGCAUAAUUUUUAUUGCAGAACUGGUAUCAGAACCAAAGCCAGAGCUUUCCCAUGAUACCCAGGGACAAAAUGGCACACACUUUUAAUGCUAGCACAUGGGAAGCAGAGGCAGGUGGAUCUCUGUGAGUUUGAGGCUAGCCUGGUCUACAGAGUGAGAUCCUGUCUGAGAGAGACAGAGGCAGGCACAGACAGACAUACAGGCAGACAGACAGGGAGCUAGAAAUGCAAAUAUGAUCAGUAUGAGCUGAGGUUUGAUUUUUAAUAAGAUCACAGCUCCUUUUUAAAGGAAGCCAGUGCUUCUUACAGCUAGGAGGCCUUUCUGUGUCCGUGCUCUUAUUUAAUUUUUUUAAGAUUGAUUUAUUUUGUUUUAUGUGUAUGAGUGUUUUGCUUACAUGUUUGUAUGUGUAUCAUGUGAGUGCCUGGUGCCCACAGAGGUCAGAGUAGGACAAUGGGUCCCCUGUAACUGGAGUUUUGAGUGUUUAUAGGCCACUAUGUCAGUUUUGAAAAUGGAACCCAGGUUCUCUGCAAGAACAAGUACUCUUAACCAUUGAGGGCUCCUCUAACAACAGCCACCUCCCCCACCGUGUGUGUGUGUGUGUGUGUGUGUGUGUGUGUGUGUAGGUCAGAGGUCAACAUCAUCUCCCUCAGUUGCUCUCCACUUUAUUUUUGAGGUAAGGUCUCAUAUUGAACCUGGAGCUGGCUGUUUAGGCUAAACUGUGCCUAUAAGCCCCAGGGAAUCUCUUGUCUCUGCCCCCACUCCAACACCACCUGCCCAACACUGGGGCUACAGGCACCUGUCGCCUUGCCAUGCCUGGCUUUUUUAGUGAGUGUUGAGGAUGCCAGAGUAGAUCCUUGUACAGCCAAUGCAGCACACACCUUUGUUUUGACCUCCAAGUUUACUCUCCAUAUGUUGGAGGAAUGUUCAUCUUUGUGGUACGGUUUCUUUCAUGUAUUACUUAUUUAUUUUUUUAAAAAAAUUAUUUAUGUAUUUUAUAUAUGUGAGUACACUGUCGCUGUCUUCAGACACACUAGAAGAGGGUAUUGGUUCCCAUUACAGAUGUCUGUGAGCCACCGUGUAGGUGCUGGGAUUUGAACUCAGGACCUCUGGAAGAGCAGCCAGUGUGCUCUUAACCAUUGAGCCAUCUCUCCAGCCCUCAUGUACUUUUUUAAAAAGGCAGAUCUCUGGAAUGGACAAGGAAGGUAUCUUCGAUCGAAGCUGUGGGAGGAGCUUUGGACUUGGCUAAGAGCCAGAGCCCUGUAGAGGGAGCGCCAGAGAGCCACUGCGAAGACCCCAGGGGACCAGGAUGCAGCUAAGUCACCUGGAUGCGGAGAAGCUUCUGGGUCCCCACUCUACCUCGCAUCUCUUCUAGAAGAUGUAGAAGUCUCGGCUACUUCCCAGUACUGUGUCUGCCUGCACGCUGCCAUGUUUCCUGCUAUGAUGACAGUGGACUAAACCAACUCCAAUUAAAGGCUUUCCU
This is a long non-coding RNA of Mus musculus (house mouse), 2667 nucleotides long. RefSeq annotates it as predicted gene, 52238. The transcript has 4 exons. The record is from RefSeq and is a predicted model, not a curated record. Lineage: Eukaryota; Metazoa; Chordata; Mammalia; Rodentia; Muridae.